This 440-nucleotide ribosomal RNA is filed under the name uncultured bacterium. Its description in RNAcentral is "partial 16S ribosomal RNA". It matches the Rfam family "Bacterial small subunit ribosomal RNA", at positions 338 to 795 of the family's 1533-position model. The record is from RNAcentral.
CCUACGGGGGGCUGCAGUGGGGGAUAUUGCACAAUGGGGGGAACCCUGAUGCAGCGACGCCGCGUGGGUGAAGAAGCGCCUCGGCGCGUAAAGCCCUGUCAGCAGGGAAGAAAAUGACGGUAACUGACGAAGAAGCCCCGGCUAACUACGGGCCAGCAGCCGCGGUAAUACGUAGGGGGCAUGCGUUAUCCGGAUUUACUGGGUGUAACGGGGGCGCAGACGGCGAUGCAAGCCAGGAGUGAAAGCCCGGGGCCCAACCCCGGGACUGCUCUUGGAACUGCGUGGCUGGAGUGCAGGAGGGGCAGGCGGAAUUCCUGGUGUAGCGGUGAAAUGCGUAGAUAUCAGGAGGAACACCGGUGGCGAAGGCGGCCUGCUGGACUGCAACUGACGUUGAGGCCCGAAAGCGUGGGGAGCAAACAGGAUUAGAUACCCGGGUAGUC